GACGAACGCUGGCGGCGUGCCUAACACAUGCAAGUCGAACGGAAAUACGAUUUCGGUUGUAUUCUAGUGGCGAACGGGUGAGUAACGCGUGAGCAACCUGACCUUCAGAGGGGGAUAACAUUUGGAAACAGAUGCUAAUACCGCAUAAGACCACGACCCGACAUCGGGAUGCGGUCAAAGGAGCAAUCCGCUGAGGGAGGGGCUCGCGUCCAUUAGAUAGAUGGCGGGGUAACGGCCCACCAUGUCGACGAUGGGUAGCCGAGCUGAGAGGCUGAUCGGCCACACUGGAACUGAGACACGGUCCAGACUCCUACGGGAGGCAGCAGUGGGGAAUAUUGGGCAAUGGGCGCAAGCCUGACCCAGCAACGCCGCGUGAGGGAAGAAGGCUUUCGGGUUGUAAACCUCUAUCCUUGGUGACGAAACAAAUGACGGUAGCCAAGAAGGAAGCCCCGGCUAACUACGUGCCAGCCGCCGCCGUAA
This 480-nucleotide ribosomal RNA is filed under the name uncultured bacterium. Its description in RNAcentral is "partial 16S ribosomal RNA". It matches the Rfam family "Bacterial small subunit ribosomal RNA", at positions 28 to 523 of the family's 1533-position model. The record is from RNAcentral.